GACGAACGCUGGCGGCGUGCUUAACACAUGCAAGUCGAACGGAAAGGCCCUGCUCUUGUUGGUUGCUCGAGUGGCGCACGGGUGAGUAACACGUGUGUAACCUCCCCUUGUCUUUCGGAUAACUUCACGAAACUCCGGCGAAUACCCCGUAGAAGCUUCUGCUGCAUGGUGUGGGUUGGAAAGUUUCGGCGGUUGUGGAUGGACUCGCGGGUUAUCAGCUUGUUGGUGGGGUAGGGGCUUACAAAGCCUUUGACGGGUAGCCGGCCUGAGAGGGUUACCGGCGACAUUGGGACUGAGAUAGGGCCCAGAAUCGUACGGGAGGCAGCAGGGGGGAAUAUUGCACAAUGGGCGGAAGCCUGAUGCAGCAACGUCGCGAGCGGGAUGCCGGCCUUCGAGGUGUAAACAGCUGUCGCCUGUGACGAACCGUGAGUGACGGUAAUGGGUAAAGAAGCACCGGCUAACUACGUG
This 468-nucleotide ribosomal RNA is filed under the name uncultured bacterium. Its description in RNAcentral is "partial 16S ribosomal RNA". It matches the Rfam family "Bacterial small subunit ribosomal RNA", at positions 28 to 507 of the family's 1533-position model. The record is from RNAcentral.